AUAGCGUAUAUUAAAGUUGUUGCCGUUAAAAAGCUCGUAGUCGAACUUCGGCCUCUGUCGCCCGGUCCGCCUAUUUGGGUGUGUACUGGAGCGGUGGAGGCUUACCUCGUGGUGAACGGCGAUGUCCUUUACUGGGCGUCGUCGGGAACCAUGACUUUUACUUUGAAAAAAUUAGAGUGUUCAAAGCAGGCUUACGCCCGAAUACAUUAGCAUGGAAUAAUAAAAUAGGACGUGCGGUCCUAUUUUGUUGGUUUCUAGGAUCGCCGUAAUGAUUAAUAGGGAUAGUUGGGGGCAUUCGUAUUCAAUUGCUAGAGGUGAAAUUCUUGGAUUUAUUGAAGACGAACUACUG
This 349-nucleotide ribosomal RNA is filed under the name uncultured eukaryote. RNAcentral describes it as "SSU rRNA". It matches the Rfam family "Eukaryotic small subunit ribosomal RNA", at positions 594 to 945 of the family's 1831-position model. The record is from RNAcentral.